This 453-nucleotide ribosomal RNA is filed under the name uncultured bacterium. RNAcentral's name for it is "bacterial SSU rRNA". It matches the Rfam family "Bacterial small subunit ribosomal RNA", at positions 28 to 496 of the family's 1533-position model. The record is from RNAcentral.
GACGAACGCUGGCGGCGUGCUUAACACAUGCAAGUCGAACGGUAAGGCCCUUCGGGGUACACGAGUGGCGAACGGGUGAGUAACACGUGGGUGAUCUGCCCUGCACUUCGGGAUAAGCCUGGGAAACUGGGUCUAAUACCGGAUAGGACCAUGGACUUCACGGUUUGUGGUGGAAAGCUUUUGCGGUGUGGGAUGGGCCCGCGGCCUAUCAGCUUGUUGGUGGGGUAAUGGCCUACCAAGGCGACGACGGGGUAGCCGGCCUGAGAGGGUGUCCGGCCACACUGGGACUGAGAUACGGCCCAGGACUCCUACGGGAGGCAGCAGUGGGGAAUAUUGCACAAUGGGCGCAAGCCUGAUGCAGCGACGCCGCGUGAGGGAUGACGGCCUCGGGUUGUAAACCUCUUUCAAUAGGGACGAAGCGCAAGUGACGGUACCGUAUAGAAGAGGCACCGG